CGGGACGGGUGAGUAACGCGUGGAAAACCUGCCGUAUACUGGGGGAUAACACUUAGAAAUAGGUGCUAAUACCGCAUAAGCGCACAGCUUCGCAUGAAGCGGUGUGAAAAACUCUGGUGGUAUACGAUGGUUCCGCGUCUGAUUAGCUAGUUGGUGGGGUAAUGGCCUACCAAGGCAACGAUCAGUAGCCGGCCUGAGAGGGUGAGCGGCCACAUUGGGACUGAGACACGGCCCAAACUCCUACGGAAGGCAGCAG
This 256-nucleotide ribosomal RNA is filed under the name uncultured bacterium. RNAcentral's name for it is "partial 16S ribosomal RNA". It matches the Rfam family "Bacterial small subunit ribosomal RNA", at positions 98 to 354 of the family's 1533-position model. The record is from RNAcentral.